Non-coding RNA from Gymnothorax javanicus (giant moray), 70 nucleotides. The record is from the annotation of a GenBank genome assembly. NCBI's taxonomy places the organism in Eukaryota, Metazoa, Chordata, Actinopteri, Anguilliformes, Muraenidae.
GCAUGGUGGCGCAGUGGUUAGCGCUGCCGCCUCACAGCAAGAAGGUUGUGGGUUCGAAUCCAGCCUGGCG